GAUAUGACAAGAUGUGUCACAUGGUACAAAUCACAAUUGCCUGGAACAAGUACUGAAACGGAUAUUAAAUGGACAAUAAAGGUCCGAUCGGUAGCAGAAUGCGCUCAUCACUGUACCGUUCAUACCAACUGCAGAUCCAUCCAAUAUGACAAUUCAACAACAAAUUGCACAAUACUCUACGUAUCGAAUCUAACAAGUCAAUAUGUAAGCAGUAUUCAAAUGUCUCAUUACAGCAAAACAUUAGUCUUAAAUUGUCCAAACGGAUACGAUCAUCUGCAGGAAAGUAACACAUGCGUAAAGUUAUAUCCUAACUAUCUUACAUGGAAUGACAGCUUCACCGCAUGCAAAAAUGACGAUGCAGAUUUACCUGUACUAGAUUCAAACAUUCUAUUUGAUGAAUUUCAAGACUACAUGGAUUUGCGGUCGUCUGGUAGAGUUGCAGUUAAUGCUAAACUAUCUAACAAUGUACCAUACUGGGAGACUGGUGGAGAAGUUAAUGCUUCAAAGUUCUGCGAGUACACUCCAGAUAUGCUAAACACAUCAGACGUAUGUUUGUUUUUGGCCCAUAAAUCAGAAUCAUGGUGCAAUUCGUCUAUUUACAGACUUGAUGAUGCUUUGUGCCAGGAAUAUGCAUUAAGGAUUUGUAUGGUGAAAUUAUAAGAAAAUAAUUCAGUGGAUUGUCCUUCUUAAAUCCAAUCAUAUCGAUAGAAAUGAAUACAAUUCCCUGUUUACCCAAAUAUCAUGAUACUGAAGCAAUUUAAAACAUUGAUUUAAACUCAAAUUUUAUUUUAUAUAGUAAAUUUUCUAGUAUCUUGCUGACACGCCAUUAGAACAAUGAAAGUAUAUAUAUGGGUAUUUAAAACAUGCAUGAUGUUUUCAAACAGUUGCAAAUACCUGUCGUAAAAAGUCAUAAAAAGAUUCUAGGAUUAUAAUUUUGUACGCCGGACGCGCUAUUUUUUAAUAUACGAUUGAUCAAUAGCGCUAGAAUUAAAACAAUUGAAAGGCAAAAAGAGGGGUGCAAUAUACCACAGGGUUAUACUUAUAAUUGCAACGAAUAGCGUUCGCAUAUAUUGAUGGAAUAUCGAGGAUACUCGAUUACAUGUAUAUGAGUACAAUGUACGAUAACGAAAUGUUUUAAGGAGAGUUAACACUUUCGAAAAUAACAUGUAUAUCUAACAGAGCAGCCUGCUACUAUCAAACUUUUUUUUAUACCAAAGAAGGUUAUUUUAUAAAUUUUGACUUGGAUGGAGAGUUGUCUCAUUGGUACUCAUACCACAUCUUCUUAUAUCUAUAUAGGGUGUUAAUGCAUAUUUUAUGAGAGACAAAUUUGGACUUGACAAUGCCUUAACGCUUUUCGCGACCAACUGACACAUAUCCGACAAACCAUAUUUACGUUAAUAUUUCAUAUGAUCUUAUCAAUUGCCAUCAAGAUAAGUAUUAUUAUGUCCUUUGUGUUCAUUACUAUGAAAAAAAAUUUAAUAAACUUUAUUUCAAACA
Mytilus californianus (California mussel) is the source of this 1497-nucleotide long non-coding RNA. RefSeq lists it as uncharacterized. The record is from RefSeq and is a predicted model, not a curated record. NCBI's taxonomy places the organism in Eukaryota, Metazoa, Mollusca, Bivalvia, Mytilida, Mytilidae. The transcript is spliced from 3 exons.